AAAGAUUUAGUUAAAUAAUAACAUUAAUUUGUCAAAUUAAAGUUAGACUAUUCCAUAAAAAUCUAAUCUUUA
This 72-nucleotide transfer RNA is filed under the name Bemisia tabaci. Its description in RNAcentral is "tRNA-Asp". The record is from RNAcentral. Lineage: Eukaryota; Metazoa; Arthropoda; Insecta; Hemiptera; Aleyrodidae.